UCAUAUCAAAACAUAUAUUCCUUGUUUUUAAUGCUUAAUUUUUUAUUUAGUUUCUAUUCAUGUGAUUUAUUUAAUUUAUAAUAAAUAUAAAUAAAAGAGUAGUUGAAAAUAAGGGUAAUAUUGUAAACUUAUACUAUCAGGGGGGUUUUUGGCCAUUAUAAAAACAGCAGGGGGGAAAAUGGUAUAUGUUGAUUGCUGUAAGGCGGAAAUUGGCAAUCUCCCUAUUCAAUACAAGGGCUGUUGAUAUUGAAAAUUUUGAGAAUGAGUGUUGAUUGAAUUGAUUCACACACAAUAUAAGGAUCCAAUGUGAGAUGAGGCUGACUAUUGAAUUAAAGUUAGAACUUUGUCAAUAUUUUUAAUUUUCUUUGAGCUAUAUACUUUAUGCAAUUUUUGACGCAUUUUUUAUGAUGUUUGUGGGUAUCAUUGUUGUGCAAAUUUUAUUGAACUCGCAAGUGCACGAAUCUAUUGUAGAAUAGAUCAAUAAUGACAAGUGUCGAUCCCACGAGGAAGUGGAUUUUAAUUGUGGAGAGAAUUAAUUUUUCUAAAUAGGUGGUUGGAAUUAUGGUAAAGAUAAUUUAGAAUAUCCUAAAAUUUAAAUUGAAAUGGCAGAAUUAAAUUAAAGUAGAAACUAUAAUAAUUGAAGCGCUUGGGUAACUGAAUCCGUAUCAACAUGCGCCAUGGGCUAAAUAUUCCUUAUUAGUGCCAAUUAAAUCAUGAGGGGGGAAUCCACACCUCAUGAACCACACUCUAAUCAAUAUGGUGCUAAGAGCUUAUCGUGUCAAAUAAUAAUAAUUUUGUACUAGGGAGCUAGUGAAACCAGGGCGGUAUCUAGACAAGAUUAUUAUUAUUUGUCGACGAAAAGUCAAAACAUCAACAAUAAUUAGAGGGGAAGAGAAAGUAAAUUUACCAAAUAAAGCCCAUGGCACAUGUUGAUACUUCACCUUCAACCCAAACUUGAAAGAAAAUUAGCUACUCAUAAUUUUAAGAAGAUAUUUAAAAAACAGAACUUCAACAAGCCAAAGAAAACUUCUACAUCAGUGGCUCCAACGACUCAAGAAGGUUCUUCUCACCCUAAUUCUAAAUUUUUUAAUCUUAACAAGCUUGAGGGUAUUCAAUGCAGAGAAUGUGGAGGCAUAGGACAAAUACAGACAAUGUGCUAACACUUUUAUGAAAAAGAAAGCAAUGCAAUCUACUUCGAGUGAUGAUGAUUCUAAUGAUAGCAUUGAUGAAGAAGACCUUGUUGGAGGACUUGUUGUUUAUAAUGAUGUGUCAAGAUAUACUAAUGGUAGUGAACAGGAAUCAAAUAUCAUAGAUGCAUCCAUUAUUUAAAGCCUCGCACUUAGCUCCUUACAAGGAAGACACUAAUUCCUAUCUUGACACAAUUGUAUAACAUGUUAACAAGAAUAAUAAUUCAAAUAGCAACAUUAGUGACAUUGAUAUAAAUGACAAGAAAUCUUUUCAAGAAAGCUACAAGAUGAUUUUUGCUAAAUGGGAAGAAGUCUAUAAUCAAAAUGUGACCUUGUUGACUUAAGUAUCCAAUCUUUUGGAUGAUAAUGCAAAACUUGAGAGUGAGGUGAUGAACCUUAAGGUUUAUAUUUUAAGCAACAAUUUUCUCGAUAAAUCAAAUGAGAUUAACAUUGUGAAAUAUUGUAAACUACUAAUGAAAGACUUAUAUUUUGUCUUUCUUUAUAAUUUGCAAAUGAAAUUUAGGUGAUGGCCAAUACCUAAUGAGAAGUCACAAAUUAUUUUUCCUUAAUCUUUAUGAAACUUUCAUCCUUGAGUAAUAGAAUUAACAUUACUUUUUUUUUUCCUACAUGAGAUUUAAGCUCAAUAGAUUGAAUUCACCUACUGCUUAAAUUCAUCUUGGUCAUGUAGAGUACUUGAUUUUGCAAGAAUAAAUUAUUCAUCCACAUGAAAUGCCAUAUAUCGAAAUCAUGCAUUCAACUAGGGAAAUACAUAUGCAUUUCAUGCUAUGUAAUCGAAAACCUAAAUUUUAAAGUUAACAAUGUUAAUUUAACAAUAAAUUCAAACCUUCCUUCGGUAAAGGUUGUAAAAAUACAUUGAAUUUACUACAUCUUUAUUCACGUAUUAGACAUAUAUGGGCCUUUAAUAAUAAGACUAGCAGAUAAAGAAAUGAAAUUUGAAAAUUCCAUACCUGUGGGCCUAGGAAAAUUCUUAUAAAUCGAUAUCCAAUUUACUGUUAUUCCAAUUAAAUUAUUACAAUAGUUAUCUCUUUGUAGGGCCCAUUGAUUAUUUAAUGAAUAAUUGAAAACAAUUGAUGCCAUAUAUCUUUCUAUUCAUCUUUGUAUGAUAUUAUAUAGAGAAAUUAUCAUUUAUAUACCCUAUAUUUGCUAUGUUAUUAAAAAUACUAUAAUACUUUGAGGGUGUAUCAAUCGUCUAUCCUUAAUUGACAAAAUGUAUCAGCUGACCACCAAACCGUUAGUUGUCAUUUGAAAGUUAACGGAGUUACAGUGAAUUGACGAUUUUACCCUUGAAAAUUAUCACUUUUAUACCCUUAAAUUCUCUUUUUAUCACUUGUAUACCCUUAAAUUAUCACUUGUAUCAUAUGAAAAGACCAAAUUACCCUUCUGACUUCAUCAUACUUAAACAGCAACUAACGGUUUGGUGGUCGCUGAUACAUUUUGUCAACUUACGGUGGACGAUUGAUACACCCUCAAAGUGUUUUAGUAUUUUUGAUAAUGGAGUAAACUAAGGGUAUACAAAUGAUAAUUUUCCUAUUAUAUACUUCAUCAAACAUAUAUCGUCAUAUCUUUAGAUGUUAUGGCUAUUUUCAAGAUACAAUAAUACUUAAAACUUCAAUGGUAUAAAAAAAUAAUUUAAUAGGUAAGAAACUGAUGUCGAAAUAUACACCUUUUAGAGCAAUUAAAACAUUAAGAGCAAGACUAUAUGAAUUAAUUUUAUGCAGCAAUAAAAUGCCCUGUUUAUUAGGGUUUAUCAAAAUCUUGUGUCAAAAAACAUCAAUAGGUUCAAUGGCAAAUUGGUCUUUUUGGUAUUUUUAAUUUCUUGGAUGAUCAAGUAGAUGUCAUUUUCUGAUUUUGAAGGAUCAGAAACCUUGGGAUAAGCAAUAACUAGGAUUAAAUUCGAGAUAGGAUUGAAAAUUGAUUUUGAGAGAGAUUGAAAUUUUAUGUAAUGAGUCAUAAAGACAUUAUGUUAGUUUAAUUAAAAAUUAAUAAUCAUAAUAAGUAAAGUUAAUAUU
Molecule: long non-coding RNA, 3217 nt
Filed under: Citrus x clementina
Lineage: Eukaryota; Viridiplantae; Streptophyta; Magnoliopsida; Sapindales; Rutaceae
Description: Citrus clementina (C. clementina) long non-coding RNA (CCLE_LNC005417)
Source: RNAcentral